RNAcentral lists this ribosomal RNA (855 nucleotides) under Triticum aestivum (bread wheat). Its description in RNAcentral is "partial small subunit ribosomal RNA". The record is from RNAcentral. Lineage: Eukaryota; Viridiplantae; Streptophyta; Magnoliopsida; Poales; Poaceae.
AUGGAAGAUAACAACUUAUGCAUUUUGAAUUGGAAUGUUCGUGGAUUGAACUGCCCAGACCGUCGUUCUACUGUACAUGAAACCAUCGCCUCCACUUCUUGCAACAUUGUAUGUCUUCAAGAAACCAAGCUUGCAGCCGUGGAUCCUUUUAUCGCUGCUUUCCUAGGCAGCCAUCGUCUGAAAAGUUUCGCUGAGCGGCCCGCGAAUGGCACCCGUGAAGGAAUUCUUCUAUUAUGGAAUGAAGACCUAGUAAAGAUUGAUAAUGUGAGCUUUGGGGACUUCUUCCUCUCGGCAAUGGUGACUAUCAUUGGCUCAAACACAUCCUUCCAAAUCACAACCGUGUAUGGCCCUACUAGAGGCAAUUUGAAGGAUGCCUUUUUCCAUGAAAUGGUUGGACAAAAACCUCCUGCUGGCAUGAGAUGGAUUGUCACCGGCGACUUCAACCAAGUCUAUCGGGCCAGAGAUAAGAACCGUACAAAUGUCGAUCGCAGCCGUAUUGUUCGCUUCCGCAACGCCCUCAAUGCUUGUGAGCUAAAGGAGAUACAUUUGCAGAAUAGGAAAUUCACAUGGAGCAAUGAACAAGCAAACCCGACCAUGAGAAAACUUGAUAGCUUCUUUUGCAAUGAAGAUUGGGACAUUCAGUUUGGCUCCCACCUUCUCCACGCAUUGUCAUCUUCAUUGUCCGACCACUGCCCUCUACUCCUCGCUAGUGAUGUGGGGCCCUCCCGGCCAAAAUGCUUCCGCUUUGAAAACUUUUGGAUCAAGAUGCCUAACUUCAAGAAGACUGUCCAAGAUGCUUGGAAUGAGAGAGUCCCCCAUGUUGAACCAUGUCAAAUCCUCUUUCACAAGCUAUAA